Non-coding RNA from Ixodes scapularis (black-legged tick), 73 nucleotides. Lineage: Eukaryota; Metazoa; Arthropoda; Arachnida; Ixodida; Ixodidae. The record is from Rfam.
GCCCGGUUUGCUCAGUUGGUAGAUCGCUUCGCUGGAAAUUGAGAGGUCCCUGGUUCGAUACCCGGACCAGGCG